UGUAGGAGCGAGCCUGCUCGCGAUGGCGCCAGGUCAGUCGAAUCAGAGGUUGGCUGAUACACCGCUAUCGCGAGCAGGCUCGCUCCCACA
This 90-nucleotide unclassified non-coding RNA is filed under the name Pseudomonas sp. A214. Lineage: Bacteria; Pseudomonadati; Pseudomonadota; Gammaproteobacteria; Pseudomonadales; Pseudomonadaceae. The record is from RNAcentral.